Molecule: ribosomal RNA, 388 nt
Filed under: Brevibacterium sp. PAS41
Lineage: Bacteria; Bacillati; Actinomycetota; Actinomycetes; Micrococcales; Brevibacteriaceae
Description: bacterial SSU rRNA
Rfam family: Bacterial small subunit ribosomal RNA
Source: RNAcentral
UAGGGAAGAACAAGUACCAGAGUAACUGCUGGUACCUUGACGGUACCUAACCAGAAAGCCACGGCUAACUACGUGCCAGCAGCCGCGGUAAUACGUAGGUGGCAAGCGUUGUCCGGAAUUAUUGGGCGUAAAGCGCGCGCAGGUGGUUCUUUAAGUCUGAUGUGAAAGCCCACGGCUCAACCGUGGAGGGUCAUUGGAAACUGGGGAACUUGAGUGCAGAAGAGGAAAGUGGAAUUCCAAGUGUAGCCGUGAAAUGCGUAGAGAUUUGGAGGAACACCAGUGGCGAAGGCGACUUUCUGGUCUGUAACUGACACUGAGGCGCGAAAGCGUGGGGAGCAAACAGGAUUAGAUACCCUGGUAGUCCACGCCGGUAAACGAUGAGUGCUAA